GGCCGGAUAGCAAAGUGGUAAUGCGAGAGUCUGCAAAACUUUCAUGCGUCGGUUCGAUUCCGUCUCCGGCCUCCA
RNAcentral lists this transfer RNA (75 nucleotides) under Rickettsiales bacterium. RNAcentral describes it as "tRNA-Cys". It matches the Rfam family "tRNA". Rfam says of the family: Transfer RNA (tRNA) molecules are approximately 80 nucleotides in length. Lineage: Bacteria; Pseudomonadati; Pseudomonadota; Alphaproteobacteria; Rickettsiales. The record is from RNAcentral. RNAcentral also lists the same sequence under 1 other name.